GACGAACGCUGGCGGCGUGCUUAACACAUGCAAGUCGAACGGAAAGGCCCUGCUUUUGUGGGGUGCUCGAGUGGCGAACGGGUGAGUAACACGUGAGUAACCUGCCCUUGACUUUGGGAUGACUUCAGGAAACUGGGGCUAAUACCGGAUAGGAGCUCCUGCUGCAUGGUGGGGGUUGGAAAGUUUAGGCGGUUGGGGAUGGACUCGCGGCUUAUCAGCUUGUUGGUGGGGUAGUGGCUUACCAAGGCUUUGACGGGUAGCAGGGCUGAGAGGGUGACCGGCCACAUUGGGAUUGAAAUACGGCACAGACUCGUACGGUAGGCAGCAGUGGGGAAUAUUGUACAAUGGGCUGAAGCAUGAUGCAGUAACGCCGCGUGGGGGAUGACGGCCUGCGGGUUGUAAACCGCAGCCGCCUUUCACGAAGCGUUAGUGACGGUAAUGGGUAAAGAAGCACCGGCUAACUCCGUG
RNAcentral lists this ribosomal RNA (468 nucleotides) under uncultured bacterium. RNAcentral's name for it is "partial 16S ribosomal RNA". It matches the Rfam family "Bacterial small subunit ribosomal RNA", at positions 28 to 507 of the family's 1533-position model. The record is from RNAcentral.